RNAcentral lists this ribosomal RNA (461 nucleotides) under uncultured bacterium. Its description in RNAcentral is "partial 16S ribosomal RNA". It matches the Rfam family "Bacterial small subunit ribosomal RNA", at positions 339 to 795 of the family's 1533-position model. The record is from RNAcentral.
CUACGGGUGGCUGCAGUCGAGAAUCUUCCGCAAUGGACGAAAGUCUGACGGAGCGACGCCGCGUGCGGGAUGAAGGCCUUCGGGUUGUAAACCGCUGUCAGUGGGGAGGAAAUGCAUCAGGGUUCUCCCUGGUGUUUGACCGAUCCGCAGAGGAAGCGCAGGCUAAGUUCGUGCCAGCAGCCGCGGUAACACGAACUGCGCGAACGUUAUUCGGAAUCACUGGGCUUAAAGAGUUCGUAGGCGGCCUUUCAAGUCGGGUGUGAAAUCCCUCGGCUCAACCGAGGAAUUGUGCCUGAUACUGUUGGGCUUGAGGGGGAUAGGGGUGAGCGGAACUGAUGGCGGAGCGGUGAAAUGCGUUGAUAUCAGCAGGAACACCGGUGGCGAAGGCGGCUCACUGGAUCUCUUCUGACGCUGAGGAACGAAAGCUAGGGGAGCGAACGGGAUUAGAUACCCCCGUAGUC